UCAUUAGUAACACUGAACGGCAGGCAG
This 27-nucleotide non-coding RNA is filed under the name Mus musculus (house mouse). Lineage: Eukaryota; Metazoa; Chordata; Mammalia; Rodentia; Muridae. The record is from RNAcentral.